Molecule: ribosomal RNA, 377 nt
Filed under: uncultured bacterium
Lineage: Bacteria
Description: bacterial SSU rRNA
Rfam family: Bacterial small subunit ribosomal RNA
Source: RNAcentral
AUACGUAGGGGGCGAGCGUUGUCCGGAGUUACUGGGCGUAAAGAGCGUGUAGGCGGUUGGAAAAGUCAGGUGUGAAAUUCUUCGGCUCAACCGAGGGACUGCGCCUGAAACUUUCCGACUGGAGUUCGGGAGGGGCAACUGGAAUUCCUGGUGUAACGGUGAAAUGUGUAGAUAUCAGGAGGAACACCCGUGGCGAAGGCGGGUUGCUGGACCGAAACUGACGCUGAGACGCGAAAGCGUGGGUAGCAAACAGGAUUAGAUACCCUGGUAGUCCACGCUGUAAACGAUGAGUGCUAGGUGUAGGGGGUAUCGACUCCUUCUGUGCCGCAGUUAACGCAUUAAGCACUCCGCCUGGGGAGUACGGCCGCAAGGUUAAA